UACGUAUGGUGCAAGCGUUAUCCGGACUUACUGGGUGUAAAGGGAGCGCAGGCGGCGCGUUAAGCCUGGUGUGAAAGCCCGCGGCCCAACCGCGGGACUGCAUUGGGAACUGGCGCGCUGGAGUGCCGGAGGGGUAGGCGGAAUUCCUAGUGUAGCGGUGAAAUGCGUAGAUAUUAGGAGGAACACCAGUGGCGAAGGCGGCCUACUGGACGGUGACUGACGCUGAGGCUCGAAAGCGUGGGGAGCAAACAGG
This 253-nucleotide ribosomal RNA is filed under the name uncultured bacterium. RNAcentral's name for it is "partial 16S ribosomal RNA". It matches the Rfam family "Bacterial small subunit ribosomal RNA", at positions 524 to 776 of the family's 1533-position model. The record is from RNAcentral.